GGCACAGUGGUCUAACGGUAAGACUCCUGCUGUGUAGAUACCUGCGAAAUGAGAUGCAGAGGGCGGGAAUCUGGGUUCAACUCCCAGCUGAGCCA
This is a non-coding RNA of Tirmania nivea, 95 nucleotides long. The record is from the annotation of a GenBank genome assembly. NCBI's taxonomy places the organism in Eukaryota, Fungi, Ascomycota, Pezizomycetes, Pezizales, Pezizaceae.